This 298-nucleotide long non-coding RNA is filed under the name Ananas comosus (pineapple). RNAcentral describes it as "long non-coding RNA (ACOM_LNC043243)". The record is from RNAcentral. Lineage: Eukaryota; Viridiplantae; Streptophyta; Magnoliopsida; Poales; Bromeliaceae.
GUCUAACAACCAAAACUCAUGUGCCCUUGGCACAAUCUGAUGCAAAUCUAGGUCCACCGUCAACCACGACGGCACUCGACAGUACGGAACAGUUUACACACUACUGUAAAACGAGCUCAGCCCGUCAACACGAGCAUAAACUCAUCCUACACUAAUCUGAAUAUCCAGCACGCACUAACAGCGGGGAUACAAAAGUAUAACAGCUCUUGAAGCUAAAUUUGGUAACUUUUCAGAAAAUGACAGUGUAGGUUUAACGAGUUUUCUCCUAAGUCAAAUCUCAGUUCAACAUAUAUAAUUU